Molecule: long non-coding RNA, 432 nt
Organism: Fukomys damarensis (Damara mole-rat)
Lineage: Eukaryota; Metazoa; Chordata; Mammalia; Rodentia; Bathyergidae
Exons: 3
Source: RefSeq, a predicted model, not a curated record
CUGUGAGUUCGAGACCAGCCUGGGCUACAAUAGUUCCAGAGAAAAGCUGAAACACCCUACUCCUGUCAAAGGACCACUGAUGAUUAUGACACACUGGUGAAGAAACUGGCCUGCGAUGGUACUGUACUUGAGUAUCCAGAACAUGGAGAAGUAGUGCAGCAACAGAGUUGUUUUGGAGAGACUGGACUGGCUAUGGAUGAUCAGCUAGAGUGAUGUGACAAGGCAUCGGGAUUGCUACAGGUCUUUGACCUAACAUCCUACCUGAGGGUUGUGUAAACAACAGAAUGGGAGCCAGCUUAAUACCAGUUAAACUUCUGACAAGGGAACAAAUACUCAGCUGAUGUUAUCAAUCAUGAAGCCAGAUACAGAGUACACAAAGUUAAACCUGAAUACUGAGGUUUUGUUUAAGAAAAAACAACUCCUACAUUAACA